GUGAACGCUGGCGGUAGGCCUAACACAUGCCAGUUGAACGGCAGCACAGUAAGAGCUUGCUCUUACGGGUGGCGAGUGGCGGACGGGUGAGGAAUACAUCGGAAUCUACUUUUUCGUGGGGGAUAACGUAGGGAAACUUACGCUAAUACCGCAUACGACCUACGGGUGAAAGCAGGGGAUCUUCGGACCUUGCGCGAUUGAAUGAGCCGAUGUCGGAUUAGCUAGUUGGCGGGGUAAAGGCCCACCAAGGCGACGAUCCGUAGCUGGUCUGAGAGGAUGAUCAGCCACACUGGAACUGAGACACGGUCCAGACUCCUACGGGAGGCAGCAGUGGGGAAUAUUGGACAAUGGGCGCAAGCCUGAUCCAGCCAUACCGCGUGGGUGAAGAAGGCCUUCGGGUUGUAAAGCCCUUUUGUUGGGAAAGAAAAGCAGCAGGUUAAUACCCCGCUGUUCUGACGGUACCCAAAGAAUAAGCACCGGCUAACUUCGUG
Molecule: ribosomal RNA, 491 nt
Filed under: uncultured bacterium
Lineage: Bacteria
Description: partial 16S ribosomal RNA
Rfam family: Bacterial small subunit ribosomal RNA
Source: RNAcentral